This is a non-coding RNA of Cinara cedri, 320 nucleotides long. NCBI's taxonomy places the organism in Eukaryota, Metazoa, Arthropoda, Insecta, Hemiptera, Aphididae. The record is from the annotation of a GenBank genome assembly.
AGAGCAAUAAACAAAUUUAAUUGUGUAUAAUAACAUUACGAUAAUUUAAAUUGAAAAUAAAAUUCGUACGAACCUCGAUUUGCACAAAGCUGACCGUUACACUAUACACUCUGUGUCUGGACGAUUUCAAAAUUGUUCAUUCAAUUGCAUAGGCAUUUUUAAAGCAGAUACACUCUGUAUACGGCGGUUUUAAUCGACGUCAUGUCGUUUCAAAUACUAAAAUAUAUAUAAUACGACUUAUACUGCGCAUUUAAACGUUAACGACUCCGUACAACUGAAAUACGUCUUCGACGUCGACGCUGAUAUAGUACCUAUUUAUG